CGGCCUGGCCCAAAAUAGCCUCGGCCCAACCCAGUAUACCUAACCUAUUUGCAGGAACUCCCGCACGCUCUCGUCUCAAGGACGAGGUGCUCCCUCCCAGCCUCCCCGCGCCGCCAGCCUCCUGGAUCGAAGCCGCCUCCGCCUUGACUCGUCGCCGCCGCCGCCGGCGACGCCUGGAUUCGACCGGCGAUAGCUGGUGCUACCCCCAGCCUCGCAGAUGCAGCUUGCAAUGACAACAUGACAUGGGGGGAUGACGAUCAAUCAAUCAUCACUUGAUAAAAGAGACACCAAAUGGGGCAUUAUCCUCUAUUAUGAUCUCUUUCUCAUUAAUUUUCUGUCUUAAUUGUAUAUUAUAUGGCAUAUUUUUAUUUUAUUUUAUAUAUACUCGCCGUA
This is a long non-coding RNA of Triticum aestivum (bread wheat), 393 nucleotides long. RefSeq lists it as uncharacterized. NCBI's taxonomy places the organism in Eukaryota, Viridiplantae, Streptophyta, Magnoliopsida, Poales, Poaceae. The record is from RefSeq and is a predicted model, not a curated record. The transcript is spliced from 2 exons.